AUGUUGAAUUUUGAGGUAGAACAAAGGCAGUCAAGGGUGCGAGGAUAUUGGAAGCUGUAUUCUGUGAGCGUUCAUGAAGGCUGUGGAAGGAUCCAGGCAGGAUGGCCUCAAAUUAAGAUUUUAAUGACUCUUUGGUUUAGAAAACACACUCUUAUUGUUAACACUAUCUUAUCAGGUAUCAUUUUUGAAUUCACAGAUGAAAGCUAAAAAAUUCAUAAUUACACAAAUACUUACUUGUCUUGUGUGUUUGCAUGUGUGUGUCUGUUAAGGAACAAAUGCAUAGUGCCUACAGGAAGUAAGGGCAAAAUAAUUUCAAGGACUGGGAGUUUCCGGAAUUACCUAUGGCAAAGGCAAUUGCGUGCUGCAUUUUGACAAGGUUAAAAGUAUCUACACCCAAAUGCUGACUCAAGGAGAGUACGGGCGCCACAAGACCCUGUGAGUUUCAAACGUACAUUUAAAUGUUAUUCUUUGGGGGUUAAAAUGUUUUAUUUACAAAUGAACGAGGGUUGAUUGAUCUUGAUGAAAGACAUUUAAACAGGACCUCAGCUGAUAAAAAUUUCUGGCAGUAGCCAUCAUUUGGUCAGUGUUUGAUCUUCGGUAA
This 601-nucleotide long non-coding RNA is filed under the name Papio anubis (olive baboon). RNAcentral describes it as "lncRNA (ENSPANG00000040758.1)". Lineage: Eukaryota; Metazoa; Chordata; Mammalia; Primates; Cercopithecidae. The record is from RNAcentral.